GAAAGUUUUAAAGUCUGCCUUUAGAGUGGAAUAAUAAAACCUACUUCCUAAGCCGAAAACGUGUAGGGAAAAGGGAAGGGAGGCCCCUGUCCCUUCCCAGCUCAGCCCAACCGGGCUUCCGCCAGGAGCUGAGUAACCACCUGUUGAUGGAUCCUCUCGGUGGCAAGAGCCCCUGAAGGAGCAUGAACAGACAGGUAAGUCAGAAACCAUCCGGGUUUUGCCCAGAAAUGCUCUUCUCUAAACGA
This 245-nucleotide long non-coding RNA is filed under the name Fukomys damarensis (Damara mole-rat). Its description in RNAcentral is "lncRNA (ENSFDAG00000024524.1)". Lineage: Eukaryota; Metazoa; Chordata; Mammalia; Rodentia; Bathyergidae. The record is from RNAcentral.